CAAAGGAAGUGGAACUGGCCUCGUUUUCACACUCCGAAAACAAAUAUGGCUGCUGCCUCUCAAAAGAAGGAAGGACGAUAAGGAUUAUUUCAGUUGUCAGUUGGAAAAUGUAACUACUGGAUUGGAAAACGAGCAGGUGCUGCCCCCCCUACUGAGGGAUAGCCAGCCUUCCUCCCCCAAGACCAACAUGGACACGAUGGCAGAGUAACGUGUAGCAGGUCUUCUGCCAUACUGCCCAUCUUACCACCACCAGUCCAUCACCAUGGAAACCAGAUGAAGAUGCUGGAAUAUACCUGUGAUAUCUAGGAUCCCUUCACAUUUUUCCCAAGUGGAAAGACGACCUGAUACCACCUAUCAGACCUGUGAUCCAAUCACCGCUUCCAUAUAAGGGAACUCUGAUUUCUAUCUGAACAAAUCUACUUCUGCUGUUGCUGGUGUCUCCAUUCACAGCAGUCAAUCUAAGAAGAAAAUUUUUUGUUGAAUAUAUUGGCGGUCUAGUUUUCAAUUAUUUCAACACAUAUGUUGCAAUCGUAGAAGUGAUGUUUUUGGACGGUGACGUUCAUAACUGUGUUGAAACUAAGCUGGUGCGUGUGAUGUUAUAACGCUGCAGCUGGCUUUGCAUAUCUGUGAUUUCUGAAGUGUGGUAGCAGACGACAGUUUACGAUGAGGAUCUACCCGCGCCGCGUCUUCCGAUCCAUCCUCAUGGUGGCCAUGUUGCUUUUCGUCAUGCUCAAUUUGCAUAUCCUGAUGACGUCACAACCAGAUGGCAUCGGGGAAUACGACCAUCAGAUCAUCCUUCAAGGUCACCACCGUAGUUUAGGUGAAAUGCACGUGCAAUUUGGAGAACCCGUAGGUUACCCGUAUUCCAAUCUACCCCAGUCUACACGAGCAAAACUCGUCAUUCCACCCAAAUCGGGGGACUACAACAAUGCUACUAUUUCAAUCAAUCGCAAUAUAGACACAGCAAAUAUCAGCCUUAUCAAGGCUGAAAUAGCCAAAAUUAACAAGGCCCAAAAGAUUCAUAAUUUGGAUCGUUUCGGUUUGAAGUUGGACGCAGAGAGUGUUGUCAUUGUUGUGCAGGUGCAUGAUCGCCAUGACUACCUCAGGAUAUUAUUAGACUCAUUGAAGAAAGUGCGUAAUAUACACAAGACGUUGUUGAUCAUCAGCCACGAUGUGUAUGCGGAGGAGCUGAAUGAGUUGGUGGAGAGUAUAGACUUUGUCCCAGUCAUGCAGAUAUUCUUUCCCUUUUCUCAACAAAUAUAUCAAACUGGGUUUCCGUCAGAGCAUCCAAACGACUGUCCCAGAGACAUUAAAAAGGACCAAGCUUUAAAACGCAACUGUAAUAAUGCUGCCCACCCAGACAAGUACGGCCAUUACCGGGAAGCCAAGUACUGCCAGGCCAAACACCACUGGAUGUGGAAGCUUCACCACGUGUUUGAGGACCUGGAUGUGAUGAAGGACUACGAGGGGAUGGUGCUGCUGCUGGAGGAUGACUACUACGUCACAGAGGACGUCCUCACCAUCCUGCAGAUGAUGCAGAACCUUGCUCACAAGGACUGUAAAGACUGCCGUAUGCUGGUCAUCGGCAACUACGACAAGGUGCAGAACUACCAGGCCAACUCCGGCAAAGUUGAGAGGGCCUACUGGAUUUCCUCCAAACACAACAUGGGGAUGGUCUUCACCAGGGUGUUGUGGAAUGAAAUCAAGAAAUGCUUUAGGGAGUUCUGUCUCCAUGAUGACUACAACUGGGACUGGACUAUCCAGCAUCUCAGCAUGAAGUGUAUUCCCAACAAGAUCCGGACCAUCAAGAUGAAAGCAAGUCGGAUCUUCCACAUCGGUGAAUGUGGGAUGCACAUGAAGGGCAAGAGCUGCAAUCCUGGGGGCAAGCUGAAGAAAGUAGAGGAGCUAAUUGCUAAAAACAAACAGUUUCUGUUUCCUAAUGUGCUAUCAGUGGCAGGGGACUCCCGUUUCAAACUAAGAGACCCCAAAGCUAAUGGUGGAUGGGGUGAUCAAAGGGACCAUGAAAUGUGCCUGAGUUUCUUGUACAGAAACACCACACUUAGGUGAUAGUUGGAGCAGACGUCACAGUCGGCCAUCUUGGAUUUCAGAAGCUGGACUCCCGAGAAGGAAGGACAUAUACUUUGAACAAUUGUAUUUACAAGAUUGACAAUAACAUUGUUCCAUUUCAAAUAAUAUGAUUAUCACCCGGUAAUGUGGUGAAUGUUUCAUCCGAAUAUUUUGUCAUCUUAAUGUACGAGGUUGUGUCACAGGACAAGCCAGAUUUUGUGGGGCUUUCUCUCCAGAUGAUGUGGAUUAAUUUAUCAUGAGAUCUUUUCAAGUUAACGAAGUCAUCUUGUUCCGGAGAGAAUGAUCAAAUCAUUUGUGUUGAAAUGGUAGCAACCCUCAGUAUUUUUCUAGAAGCAUGUGUAAGCUUGUCAUGCAUCCGUAUGCCUGGUAGUAUUACUUGUUCUUUCAUCACAAAUGCAAUAUUUUCUGAUGGAAUAGAAGACUUGUUUGUUAAGGCCGACCAUGUCAUAUUCUGGGAGGGGGACUGGGAUAUUAAUAAUUCCAGAAUAUUCUGUCAAUAUUAAUUUUGCUUCCAGUUUAACACUGGACAUGAUCAACGUCCUGAAGAAAAGUGUCUAGCUUCUCCUUUUUGAAGGAAAAGAAUCAGAGUCUUGAAACAGUGACUGAAAUUGCUACCAACAAUUUCCCCCCCACACACACAUACUCCCCCCACACACACCCUCCCUUCCUCCACUGUUUAGUACUUGGUCGGUCCUUGACCUGCAAUGGCUGUGUACAUGUAAAUGGACAACUGUGAAAGUUUUGUUUUAGCUGCUUCAUAAUGCAUUUGUUUCAAGCUGUCAGCAAUGGAAACAAGAAGUCCUAAUUUGCUUGAAGCCAAAAUGUUUUUAUCUGUGAUGAGAUGUUGAGAAGAUUUUCAUUGCUUAUCUAACAUUGUAUAAACCAAAAUGUUUUUUCCCCAAAGCUGUAACCUUAACAGAUCCAAGUGUUACUAAUCAUGCCCUUGUCUCCGAGAAUUAUUAUUCCAUUCAGUUACAUUGUGGAUAUGGCAGACAUAAUUCCUCUGACCUUAAACCUAAGUUCUUUAUAAUAUCUUAACUGUUCUAAAUUACUUAGUCUGUCAUCAAAACCCUGAAACAAAUAUAUCUACCGGUAAUACAGCUAUUGAAGUCUGUAAUAGUUGGCAAAUAUAGAUUACUCCAGUUUGAAAUGAAGAGAGUCUCUGGGCUCCUUUUUAUUAUAUUUUUUUAAGAUAAUUUAACUUUUUUUUCUGUUAAAUAUUUUCAUUUCUGAAAAUAGAUGUUAGUCUGUAAAUAUGUAUGUUUCGAGAGCUACUUUAUAUUUUAAAGGUAUCCUCAUGCUGUUGGCUGAUCUCUGUGAUCCUAGAGGACGUACAGCUAGUGCUCAAUGAGACAGUAUUUGGACAAUGACUAGUCACACUCUUUGUCAGGAACAAUCCAAGAAGUCUGAAGUUCAUAGUUUCAUACAUUGCUUCACAAUUCAAAUUUCCUGGGAUGAAAUAUACAUUGUGUUUGCCAACUGUGUAAUACGAGCUAUUUACGAGAUAUUUGGACAUGUUAUUAAGAGUUCCAGAAAUUUCUGAAUGAACAGCUUUACUGAUCGAUCUUGACCCAUACGUUUCAGUGAUAAUGACAUGCCAUGAUAGUUUAGCAUCAGCCAGGCUCAUUGCAUCACUCACAAUCUGCAUCAUAUUUUUGUGGUUUAUUUGAGAUAAUGUUUUCUAAGCGUACUUCAAAUUGGUGAGCGAUAGUCUUGUGAGAAAAAUCAACAUGGACAUGUUACAGUAACAUCGAGUAAUACUAAUAGCAGCUUGCAACACUUCAGUGGUGGCCAUGUUGUUCCUCAAAGGGUCACCACUCCUUCUAUCUCACAAACUGGAGAUUUUUCAGAUUAUUGAACAGGAUUUGGAGUUCAAUCCCAGCUUUGAUGAAAAUGUUAUGUUUACAUCUAUUGCUUUUGAUUAAGAGUCUAAAACAGUGGCAGUGACAAAACAUAAAUGAUAAAUGUUGCUAUUAACCACACUCAGGUCAAAACAUGAUCUUUCUGUAAAACUUUAUAUUUUUCAGGGUAACGUACAUUCUGAUAUUCUUUGGAAAAUGCAAUCUUUGUAUUAACCCUAUUCUUUGCCCUCAUGUAUGUUAUACAUGUUAUUAUUUUAAUAUAUUAUUAUCGUGCACCAGUGUAUUGUUUCCAUCAUCCGGACGGCAUUGUUGACAUCAUUGGAAUUUUAUUGUGACGAAUGAUGUCAGACUAGAAACAAUGUCAAAGUUGAAGAUUGUUGACUGAUUUUACGAAACCUUGUGUAAGAAUUCAUGUUUUACCCUCUCUCUCCCACGGGAAAUACAAGAAUUCUGACACUCGUUUCAUAAAAUCAGUAUGACACACAUGAUCGUAUAAUAAUCUCUAUCCAGACGUCGUAGUUGAUAUCAUGGGUGGAACGUUGACAUUGUCUCUGUGUUAUGUGGGUAAUCAUUGACUGCUGAAUUGGAAGACAAACUAACUUGGAGACGAAGAACAUGUUCGAGGGCUGUGAAUCUGAUUUGUUUGUCUGCCCAUUAGCCAAGCAUUGUCCCCUCUAAACAGUGGUUGUUGACAGGUGGGACAGCCAAUGAUUCCCAGACAGAAGAGCCCAAUAUGGUAAUGAGUGAGAUGAUGUUCACACCUCGGCUAUUAUUUCUUCUUGUAUUUACAGCAGGGGAAGCAGGAGAUAAUCUCAUAACUUAUAGUUUAUGUUUUUGUGUCAUGUUGUGCCAUGUUGUAAACUGUACUUGAGUCUUAUGUUGGGACCUUACCUUUAUUCUACAGGUAAUGUUGGCUUACCUUGAUUCUACAGGUAGAUGUUAGCUUACCUAGAUUCUAAAGGUAAUCUUAGCUUAACUUGAUUCUACAGGUAAUGUUGGCUUACCUUGAUUCUACAGGUAGAUGUUAGCUUACCUAGAUUCUACAGGUAAUGUUGGCUUACCUUGAUUCUACAGGUAAUGUUAGCUUACCUUGAUUCUACAGGUAGAUGUUAGCUUACCUUGAUUCUACAGGUAAUGUUGGCUUACCUUGAUUCUACAGGUAGAUGUUAGCUUACCUUGAUUCUACAGGUAAUGUUGGCUUACCUUGAUUCUACAGGUAAUGUUAGCUUACCUUGAUUCUACAGGUAGAUGUUAGCUUACCUUGAUUCUACAGGUAGAUGUUAGCUUACCUUGAUUCUACAGGUAAUGUUGGCUUACCUUGAUUCUACAGGUAGAUGUUAGCUUACCUUGAUUCUACAGGUAAUGUUGGCUUACCUUGAUUCUACAGGUAAUGUUGGCUUACCUUGAUUCUGCAGGUGAUGUUAGCUUACCAUAUUUUCUUGAGUAUAAUGUGCACCCCCCUCUAGCGGAUUCAGUACUUUGAAAAAAAAUAAUUCAAAUAUUAUGCGCAGAAAAAUAAUUACACUGUAUGCCUUCACCAAAUUCUGGUAAAUGAACGGGUGAUGAGAAACUUGGUCAGUACAAAUUUGAAAAUAGAGAUAAAAAAAUCACCAGACAUGUUGAUUUACCGUUUAAGUUGUAUUUUUUGUUCUGCUAGGCAUUGUUUUACAUCCAGGGAUUAAGAAUACCUUGUGAAAUUUCUUGUAAACUAAGCCGGAAACAGCAAUCAGCUGUACACACGUUUUCUUGGAAUCUACCGGUGAUUCGGUCAAGACACACCCAAUGAUAUAACUUUACAUUGUUUUAAUGCAAGGAUCGGGAAAACUGUAUCUGAAACUAUUUUUUUUUUAUCAGGAAUAAUAUCUUGUUAUUUUAGCCGCAGUUUUUACUAAAUAAUGUAUAUUAAAAAUAAUUAUAACCCUAAGCGAAGCAGCUGAUCGCUAUUGCCGGUUAUCAUUUUUCACAUGGAACCAGUUUGACCAGUCACCGUCGAGGCUCCUGUGCACGUGAUCUCGAGAACUACAUGUUGACAUAUAGCGGUAAUCUGUUUGUGGAUGUGGUUAUAACGGUGAGUUGUGCAAUCUUCCGAUCGCUUCACACACGAUUUCGCCGAAAUUAAUUAAAACAAUAUUAAAAGGAAUUUUUAAUAAAAUUUAUGAAAUAAGUUACAAACAUAAGUCCAGGUAUACAAAGAACACUUUUUAUAGCCAGAGUGUGUGAUUACAUGAUUAAUUUGCAUACUUCAGUAUGGAUUUGUUGACAUGGUAUUUCCGGUGUUACGUGCUCACAGGUAAUGUCUUUCCAGGGGGG
This 6260-nucleotide unclassified non-coding RNA is filed under the name Haliotis rufescens (red abalone). RNAcentral's name for it is "alpha-1,6-mannosyl-glycoprotein 2-beta-N- acetylglucosaminyltransferase-like, transcript variant X1". Lineage: Eukaryota; Metazoa; Mollusca; Gastropoda; Lepetellida; Haliotidae. The record is from RNAcentral.